Molecule: ribosomal RNA, 440 nt
Filed under: uncultured bacterium
Lineage: Bacteria
Description: partial 16S ribosomal RNA
Rfam family: Bacterial small subunit ribosomal RNA
Source: RNAcentral
CCUACGUGAGGCAGCAGUGGGGGAUAUUGCACAAUGGGGGAAACCCUGAUGCAGCGACGCCGCGUGUGGGAAGACGGUCCUCUGGAUUGUAAACCACUGUCCCCAGGGACGAAGAUGACGGUACCUGGGGAGGAAGCUCCGGCUAACUACGUGCCAGCAGCCGCGGUAAUACGUAGGGAGCGAGCGUUGUCCGGAAUUACUGGGUGUAAAGGGAGCGUAGGCCGGACUGCAAGUUGGGUGUCAAAUCUACCGGCUCAACCGGUAGCCGCACUCAACACUGCAGUUCUUGAGUGAAGUAGAGGCAGGCGGAAUUCCUAGUGUAGCGGUGAAAUGCGUAGAUAUUAGGAGGAACACCAGUGGCGAAGGCGGCCUGCUGGGCUUUUACUGACGCUGAGGCUCGAAAGUGUGGGGAGCAAACAGGAUUAGAUACCCUGGUAGUC